UGGACGAAAGUCUGACGGAGCAACGCCGCGUGAGUGACGAAGGCCUUCGGGUCGUAAAGCUCUGUUGUUAGGGAAGAACAAGUACCGUUCGAAUAGGGCGGUACCUUGACGGUACCUAACCAGAAAGCCACGGCUAACUACGUGCCAGCAGCCGCGGUAAUACGUAGGUGGCAAGCGUUGUCCGGAAUUAUUGGGCGUAAAGCGCGCGCAGGCGGUCUCUUAAGUCUGAUGUGAAAGCCCACGGCUCAACCGUGGAGGGCCAUUGGAAACUGGGGGACUUGAGUGCAGAAGAGGAGAGUGGAAUUCCACGUGUAGCGGUGAAAUGCGUAGAUAUGUGGAGGAACACCAGUGGCGAAGGCGGCUCUCUGGUCUGUAACUGACGCUGAGGCGCGAAAGCGUGGGGAGCAAACAGGAUUAGAUACCCUGGUAGUCCACGCCGUAAACGAUGAGUGCUAGGUGUUGGGGGGUUCCACCCUCAGUGCUGAAGUUAACACAUUAAGCACUCCGCCUGGGGAGUACGACCGCAAGGUUGAAACUCAAAGGAAUUGACGGGGGCCCGC
RNAcentral lists this ribosomal RNA (560 nucleotides) under Bacillus sp. CR32. RNAcentral's name for it is "bacterial SSU rRNA". It matches the Rfam family "Bacterial small subunit ribosomal RNA", at positions 372 to 924 of the family's 1533-position model. Lineage: Bacteria; Bacillati; Bacillota; Bacilli; Caryophanales; Bacillaceae. The record is from RNAcentral.